RNAcentral lists this ribosomal RNA (253 nucleotides) under uncultured bacterium. Its description in RNAcentral is "partial 16S ribosomal RNA". It matches the Rfam family "Bacterial small subunit ribosomal RNA", at positions 524 to 776 of the family's 1533-position model. The record is from RNAcentral.
UACAGAGGGUGCAAGCGUUGUUCGGAAUUAUUGGGCGUAAAGCGCGUGUAGGCGGCGAUGCAAGUCGGGUGUGAAAGCCCUCAGCUUAACUGAGGAAGUGCGCCCGAAACUGCGUUGCUUGAGUACCGGAGAGGAUGGCGGAAUUCCCGAAGUAGAGGUGAAAUUCGUAGAUAUCGGGAGGAACACCGGUGGCGAAGGCGGCCAUCUGGACGGAUACUGACGCUGAGACGCGAAAGCGUGGGUAGCAAACAGG